GACGAACGCUGGCGGCGUGCCUAACACAUGCAAGUCGAACGGGGCGGAGGAAGCUUGCUUCCGAAGCUUAGUGGCGAACGGGUGAGUAACGCGUGAGGAACCUGCCUUUCAGUGGGGGACAACAGUUGGAAACGACUGCUAAUACCGCAUAAUGUAUCUGGACCGCAUGAUCCGGAUACCAAAGCUUUAUGUGCUGAAAGAUGGCCUCGCGUCUGAUUAGCUAGUUGGUGGGGUAACGGCCCACCAAGGCGACGAUCAGUAGCCGGUCUGAGAGGAUGAACGGCCACAUUGGGACUGAGAUACGGCCCAG
Molecule: ribosomal RNA, 310 nt
Filed under: uncultured bacterium
Lineage: Bacteria
Description: bacterial SSU rRNA
Rfam family: Bacterial small subunit ribosomal RNA
Source: RNAcentral